Molecule: long non-coding RNA, 1378 nt
Organism: Raphanus sativus (radish)
Lineage: Eukaryota; Viridiplantae; Streptophyta; Magnoliopsida; Brassicales; Brassicaceae
Exons: 2
Source: RefSeq, a predicted model, not a curated record
UGUUUUGUAACUGAUAAAUAAGGUUUAAGUUUGGAUACAUUGAAUUCCAUUUUUUUCGACUAAAUAAUUCCAUUAUCUCCUUAAGUUUUUUUUUUUUAAAACCAUUAUCUCCUUAAGUUUUUUUUUGCAAAUAUCAUCUUCUUAUGUUACAGCUAUAAUUCUUUUUCAAAUGCAAACUUUAGGUUAAAAAAAAAUACUUGUCUUGGAAAUUUUAAAACUAAAAGCAUUCGUUGAUCGUUGAGUCGAGUAAUACAAAUUGUUGUAUACUCUUAUACAAACCAACAACAUUGUCCAUAGGCGCCUUGCAAUAUAUAUUACACACGUAAAUUCUAGGAUUUUUAAUUUUUUUUUCUUUUUAAUAGUUUUAUAAUCCAAGAUAUUUGACGGACUAAGAUGCAGUUGACUAGACCAAAAGGGAGAAAAAAAAAGCAGAGAGGCGAUAAAAAGGAGUCGAGGGUUUCUUCCUCUCCGGCGGCCCCCACGGUGCUGUGAGAGGUGCGUUUCGAAACAGAGUUUCUGGGUUUGCUUUGUGUGGUUUCUUUCUCCUGGGUGUGUUUUCAUCGUAGUGAUUCAAAGUGAGGAGGAGUGAGAGGUUUUUGAGCGCCGGUGUCAUCUCUUGAUGUCGUCGGAGUCGUCUAGAGGGUUUUGUUCGGAUCUGGUAUGGCGAGGUCGUGGAUUGGAGUUUCGGUUCUGUGACUUGGUCGGUUUUGGACUGCUUGGAGAGUUUGGGCUUGGAUUGCUGCCUCUGUUCAUGGGGUCAGUUCCGGUGGUGGUUGAUCUCAAAAGGCCAGAGCUUUUUGCGAGUUCUCUUUUAAGUUUGAUAUGGUCGUCAGAAGUUAGAUGGUUUCAGGAGCGAAUGCUCCAUUGGUGGUGUCAUCGGUUUGUUCGUUAUUGUUCAGGAUUGGAGUGGUUUUUAUCCUCUUACCGGCUGUGUGAAUAAGACGUGUUCGGAAAGCUUCUAUAGGCUUUGCCGUAGAGUGAUGGUGCGUAUGAGGCGCGUAGUGAGCCCAUUCAAGGUCUAAUGGCGAGUUUUAGUUGGGAUUGAAUGGUGUAUUCAGCGACGGUUUAGGAUUCUAACCUCUCUCGAUUCUGUUUUAUGUGAUGGUGAUGUUUGUGUGUCUCCAGUCUAUCUCAGUGAUCGUUUCAUUUGGUGCUAUUUGUGGUUGAGUUCUCGUAUGGUAAGCUCGCCUUUGAGUGUGUGGUGGAGCUCUUCUCUCCAGUAGUGAUAUUUGCCUUCCUUGUUUUAGUUUAAGCUAGUUUUCUCGUUGUUGUUUCUCUUUUGGUACCGAGGGGUGUUGUUUACCUCGUCGGCUUCUGAUUCCGGAAAAGCUUUGUUCAUUUACCGGCUUUGUGUAAUACAAGGUGAUUUCAAUAUUAA